AAGGAUGAGAAGCUUCGACUAAGGUUCGAUUCGAGCGAAAGCGAGAAAGCGUUGCCGCAGGCAACGACCCGAAGGGCGAAGCGCGCAGCGCUGAGUCAUCCUU
This 103-nucleotide small RNA is filed under the name Salmonella enterica subsp. enterica serovar Hillingdon. RNAcentral describes it as "RtT RNA". It matches the Rfam family "RtT RNA", at positions 18 to 118 of the family's 130-position model. From Rfam's summary of the family: This family represents a bacterial cis-regulatory element known as RtT RNA. Lineage: Bacteria; Pseudomonadati; Pseudomonadota; Gammaproteobacteria; Enterobacterales; Enterobacteriaceae. The record is from RNAcentral.